This is a long non-coding RNA of Coregonus clupeaformis (lake whitefish), 1466 nucleotides long. RefSeq lists it as uncharacterized. The transcript has 2 exons. The record is from RefSeq and is a predicted model, not a curated record. NCBI's taxonomy places the organism in Eukaryota, Metazoa, Chordata, Actinopteri, Salmoniformes, Salmonidae.
GGUAGAGAGAGCAGCAAGCUCACCUCUAUCCUGCAUAGAAACUUCUGGACUCAUAACUCUGAACUUGGGAUUUUGUGCGUGCGCAAAAACCACUACCAUUCCUAUUCCCAUUUCUAUUCAAUGUCUGUGUUGUAUGUCAAUAAAGUAUCCCUGUGUGUAACUCUGUGAGGUUGCCUCAUUCCCCUUUGACCGGGGGAGGUACUAGCGGGUCACAGAUCAGCCCAAUCAGAGAGUCGUACUCUUUCAUGGUCCUUUUUAUCGCCGGAUUUGUGACUUUCCUGACACCACUACGCUAUGGCGGUCUACAGAAUGCGCACAGGGUGCUUUCCACACUGCCCACCUGCGGUCCAGUGGAGAAUGGCUCUGGGGUAUGCAGUGGAUUACCACUGCUUGGAUUAUGCCCCCUCUCUGGAGCCUAUGGGAACCCCACGCCUGCCGACGGCGCAGCAUGGACUAUAUGGCUCCACUCCUCCACUACAUGGACUACAGGCAUCAGACAUUGUGUGGUUGAUGCAGGGGUUAUUCCCGUCGUUCCUGCAUCAGCAAUACCCUGAGUGGCUGGACUAUUUUAUCCUGGGAAUACAAAAGGCAUUGGAGGAGCCAGUGGCAACCCGCAGAGAGGUUCUGCAGCCACUCAGGCGUUACAUUGCAGAGCAGCAUGCUCUUCCACCUCGCACAGUUUCACAGGUGGCCCUGCAGGUCUACUGCUAGCCUGCAGUCCAGUGUUCACCUGUGUGGGAGCCAUCUCAGCCAGCACCAGUACUAGCUCCUCUGCAACGGUCCCUGUUGGCAGCACCCAAGCCAGUCCAACGACCCCUGGGACUACAGCCAGUCCGGUCGCCGUCGGUGCUCCAGCCAACACCCCAGCCACUGAGAGAGAUGGUACUCCAGCCGCCAACUCCACCAGAAGCCCAGCCUGUCCGGGGGCCACGAGUGCCCUCACCAGAUCAUCACCAGCCAAAGCUACCCAGUGAACCUUCUUCAGCAACCGCUAUCACAAGCUGCUGACAGCACAGCUUCACCUGAUCCAGCCACAGCUCAAUGUACAAUGUAAUUACAAGGUGUUACACAGGAUUUAGCUAGUUAAAAUGAAAUGUAUCUUGAGGAGCACUUACUUGUAAUUAAUGUGUACUUAUAUACAACUUUAUUGCAACAUCUAAAAAUACCUUACAUUUAUUACAAAAUAAUAAGGAUUUUUAUUGUUAAUAAAUUGAUUAAUUACAUUAAAUAAAGAUAUAGGCCUACUCAAUAACAUAAAGCCUACAGUAUGGUGAGUAGCCUAGAUCAGUGGAUCCCAAACUGUGGGUUGGGACCCACUUGUGAGUUGCGGCAGGGGUCCACGUGGGUCUUGGGAUGAUUUUUUGGAAUGGAAAAAUGCUUUCAGUGUGAACUUAAUAUAUUUUUUUAAAUAAUAGCCUAUAAUCUUUGAGAAUUUACAAUCAACUAAAUAAAAGCUAGACAAUCAA